GACGAACGCUGGCGGCGUGCUUAACACAUGCAAGUCGAACGGAAAGGCCCUGCUUUUGUGGGGUGCUCGAGUGGCGAACGGGGGAGUAACACGUGAGUAACCUGCCCUUGACUGUGUGAUAACUUCAGGAAACUGGGGCUAAUACCGGAGAGGAGCUCUUGCUGCAUGGGGGGGGUUGGAAAGUUUCGGCGGUUUGGGAUGGACUGGCGGCUUAUCAGCUUGUUGGUGGGGUAGUGGCUUACAAAGGCUUUGACGGCUAGCCGGCCUGAGAGGGUGACCGGCCACCUUGGGCCUGCGAGACGGACCAGACUGCUACGGUAGGCAGAAGUCGGGAACAUUGCGGAAUGGGCCGGAGUCUGAUGCAGAAACCCCGCGUGCGUGAUGCUCGGUUUUGGGUUGUAAACAGCUUUCGAAGGUGCCGAAGCGUGCGUGACGGUAAUGGGUCAAGAAGCACCGGCUAACUACGUG
RNAcentral lists this ribosomal RNA (468 nucleotides) under uncultured bacterium. RNAcentral describes it as "partial 16S ribosomal RNA". It matches the Rfam family "Bacterial small subunit ribosomal RNA", at positions 28 to 507 of the family's 1533-position model. The record is from RNAcentral.